UGGUGGCAUCGUCCACAGGGGGCGUCUCGACCCUGUCGCGGUCGAUGAUCGAGGCGGUCGCCCCGCCCGCCAUCGCC
Molecule: transfer RNA, 77 nt
Filed under: Glycomyces algeriensis
Lineage: Bacteria; Bacillati; Actinomycetota; Actinomycetes; Glycomycetales; Glycomycetaceae
Description: tRNA-Asp
Source: RNAcentral